Molecule: long non-coding RNA, 283 nt
Organism: Wasmannia auropunctata (little fire ant)
Lineage: Eukaryota; Metazoa; Arthropoda; Insecta; Hymenoptera; Formicidae
Exons: 3
Source: RefSeq, a predicted model, not a curated record
CGCAUUGAUCGACAACCCAACCUAUUCUUUUGAUGAAUCUCGAAGUUUUCACAAGUGUCAAGCAGAGUUUAUAUAGGUGUCAAAAAUUGAGAAAUUGAAUAAGGAAAGUGCCGUGACAGACAUAAUCAUGACAAAAACGUGUAUUAUUUGCAAAAAACAACCUAUUCCAUUUGAUAAAUCUCGAAGUUUUCACAAAUUUCCUGCUAACGUUGAAUUAAAAAAACAGUGGAUGGAAGCUGUUGGUGUGACAACAGUUUCUAAGGCAGCCACUGUAUGUAGCGAC